AGGAGUUUGGUAUCUGGCUCAGAUUGAACGCUGGGCGGCAUGCCUUACACAUGCAAGUCGAACGGCAGCACGGAGCUUGCUCUGGUGGCGAGUGGCGAACGGGUGAGUAAUAUAUCGGAACGUACCCUAGAGUGGGGGAUAACGUAGCGAAAGUUACGCUAAUACCGCAUACGAUCUAAGGAUGAAAGUGGGGGAUCGCAAGACCUCAUGCUCGUGGAGCGGCCGAUAUCUGAUUAGCUAGUUGGUAGGGUAAAAGCCUACCAAGGCAUCGAUCAGUAGCUGGUCUGAGAGGACGACCAGCCACACUGGAACUGAGACACGGUCCAGACUCCUACGGGAGGCAGCAGUGGGGAAUUUUGGACAAUGGGCGAAAGCCUGAUCCAGCAAUGCCGCGUGAGUGAAGAAGGCCUUCGGGUUGUAAAGCUCUUUUGUCAGGGAAGAAACGGUGAGAGCUAAUAUCUUUUGCUAAUGACGGUACCUGAAGAAUAAGCACCGGCUAACUACGUGCCAGCAGCCGCGGUAAUACGUAGGGUGCAAGCGUUAAUCGGAAUUACUGGGCGUAAAGCGUGCGCAGGCGGUUUUGUAAGUCUGAUGUGAAAUCCCCGGGCUCAACCUGGGAAUUGCAUUGGAGACUGCAAGGCUAGAAUCUGGCAGAGGGGGGUAGAAUUCCACGUGUAGCAGUGAAAUGCGUAGAUAUGUGGAGGAACACCGAUGGCGAAGGCAGCCCCCUGGGUCAAGAUUGACGCUCAUGCACGAAAGCGUGGGGAGCAAACAGGAUUAGAUACCCUGGUAGUCCACGCCCUAAACGAUGUCUACUAGUUGUCGGGUCUUAAUUGACUUGGUAACGCAGCUAACGCGUGAAGUAGACCGCCUGGGGAGUACGGUCGCAAGAUUAAAACUCAAAGGAAUUGACGGGGACCCGCACAAGCGGUGGAUGAUGUGGAUUAAUUCGAUGCAACGCGAAAAACCUUACCUACCCUUGACAUGGCUGGAAUCCUCGAGAGAUUGGGAGGCUCGAAGAAAAAC
This 1026-nucleotide ribosomal RNA is filed under the name Janthinobacterium lividum. RNAcentral describes it as "bacterial SSU rRNA". It matches the Rfam family "Bacterial small subunit ribosomal RNA", at positions 1 to 1023 of the family's 1533-position model. The record is from RNAcentral. Lineage: Bacteria; Pseudomonadati; Pseudomonadota; Betaproteobacteria; Burkholderiales; Oxalobacteraceae.